This 274-nucleotide ribosomal RNA is filed under the name uncultured bacterium. RNAcentral's name for it is "partial 16S ribosomal RNA". It matches the Rfam family "Bacterial small subunit ribosomal RNA", at positions 523 to 796 of the family's 1533-position model. The record is from RNAcentral.
AUACGGAGGGGGCAAGCGUUGUUCGGAAUUAUUGGGCGUAAAGCGUAUGUAGGCGGUUAAAUAAGUCAGGUGUGUAAGCCCAGGGCUCAACCCUGGAAUUGCAUUUGAAACUAUUUGACUUGAGGUCGGGAGAGGAAAGCGGAAUUCCCAGUGUAGCGGUGAAAUGCGUAGAUAUUGGAAAGAACACCAGUGGCGAAGGCGGCUCACUGGCUCGGUACUGACGCUGAGGUGCGAAAGCGUGGGGAGCAAACAGGAUUAGAUACCCCGGUAGUCC